RNAcentral lists this long non-coding RNA (435 nucleotides) under Olea europaea (common olive). RNAcentral describes it as "long non-coding RNA (OEUR_LNC010971)". The record is from RNAcentral. Lineage: Eukaryota; Viridiplantae; Streptophyta; Magnoliopsida; Lamiales; Oleaceae.
CUUCCUUAUGAAAUGGCAUUAACCAACAUAAAACUAAGCAUAAAUGUAACUAAGAUGAACACAAAAGGAACUCAUUCAAUUUGUAACUACAAAAUACAUCAGGUUUCCUUCGAUGAUUUCACAACUUUUGACACUACUACACCCACCACUACAACUAUUGACUACACUGUUAAUAUAUGACUUGCAAACACCAUAAAUCUACCAACUAAUUAUUCAAAACACCAUAACAAUCUAUUCAUUUUUCCUACAAUUUCAAUCACAAACAUCCGUAAUGUGGAUGUUAUCAUAAAAACCAAUGUGACACCCAAUCUCAGCUUAUACAACUUCAAUCUACUCAUCCUAGCACUUGUUUGGAGAAGCUACCAAGCACUUAUUGGACCUUUGAAACAGUAGACAGUAAUUUAAUAUUGGUAAAAGCCCUGACAACAACUCAGU